Molecule: non-coding RNA, 115 nt
Organism: Acanthosepion pharaonis
Lineage: Eukaryota; Metazoa; Mollusca; Cephalopoda; Sepiida; Sepiidae
Source: the annotation of a GenBank genome assembly
UUACGACCAUAUCGCGUUGAAACACCGGUAAUCGUACAACCAUCAGAGUUAAGCAAACGUCGAGCCUGGUUAGUAACUAGAUGGGUGACCGCUUGGGAAUACCAAGUGCUGUAAG